Aegilops tauschii subsp. strangulata is the source of this 2446-nucleotide non-coding RNA. NCBI's taxonomy places the organism in Eukaryota, Viridiplantae, Streptophyta, Magnoliopsida, Poales, Poaceae. The record is from RefSeq and is a predicted model, not a curated record.
CUCCAAUCCUAACCUUCUCCCUCCCUCAGAUCUCAAUCCUCUGCCACCCCUAUCCCUACCCCGGCCUAGCCCAACCCAAUCCGCCGCCGUCCUCUACCCAGAUCCCACCCCGCUCCCGCGAGCCCGCCAUGAACCGUCUGCGGGCGGUAGCGUAGCGGGAGCAGCACGGGCUUCACCUCCUCGUGUCGUGUCUCCCCCUUUCACCACCGCUCCUCCUACACCUCCUUCACGGCCUCCCUCCCGGGCACCGCCCGACAGCAGCCUCGACAGGGACGACCUGGACCCAGACCCGGUCGCGGCCACCACGGAGGCCCUCGCCAAGGUCGACCUCUCCGACGGCCCGAAUGCCACCGCCACCGCCAAGUCCGGCUCCAGCAAUCCCCGUCAAGCAGCUAGAGGCGGCGGCUGCGACGUGGGCAAGUCGCUCGACUACCUGUACCGCGCAUGCAGGAUCGCUACCCUCACCGUGAAGCACAUCGACGUCGCCGUCUCCGUCCUCUCCCGCUUCAUGGAGCCCAAGAAGCUUGCCAGCCUCGCCGAGUUCUGUGACGACCACGCCUACAUCUCCGAGGUCUGACUGUCCAAACACUGCUCGUGUCUUCUCCUUCCUCCUUGUCCUAGAUGAAACUAAAUUGAUGAAUGAAUCCAUGGAUGGAUCUGAUGGACGGUCGAAUCAAUCUUGUUCGCUUGCUGCAGUAGGGAUUCUAUCUAGCAUCCGAUUGACUACUUCACCUCAUCGAUCAAGCCAUGCUCUCCACAUCAGUCUUUUAAUUUACCAUCCAGAAGACUAGACUUGUGCUUUCAGUUUGUUUCGUCAGAUAUAUCUGCUGCCAUGCUCUUCUAUUUGUAUUCAGUUUGGUCAGACUUGUGGUUCCUGGACGGCCUUGGCUAUCCUAUCUAUCUCAGCUUCAUCAGUUAGGGGCAAUCAAUGUAGCAGUAGUGUAAUGUUGAUUUGCAUCUUAUCUUAUCUGUGGGAAAAAUGAUCAAAUCGAAUUGCAGGAGCUAUCUUAAUUAGCUUCAUCUGUUCCGAUCAUGUGUCAAUCAUAUUAGCUGUGAUGCCAUUUUUAUGUUCGUAUUAGCUGCAUCUUAUUUGUGUUUCCCCAGUUUAUGAAUCAUGUUUUCAUUUACGUGCCGUAAGAAGGCUGUAUUUGGUAAUCACCCAAAAUGCCUCUCUUUUUUAGCUGAUGAAUCGUCCUACAUGCACAGUUUGCUUGAUGUCCGUGUUUAUCCAGAUUUCAGAAUGUUUGAUUGCAACAUUCUAUUGAAGAUAGAAGUAUAGGACCAGCGUACAUGAUCUGGAACCGUUUGGUUUUGAUCAGUUGCUACUGAUGAUUUAAUGCCUAUGCUCACGUUGUUGUUGAUUAAAUGCUUAUGUUGUUGCUGCAUGCUUAUGCUACUGAUUCAAUGCUUAGGAAUUGAUUGAAUUGAACCUGUUGUGUAAUCCUUCCUGUUCUACUCGUAUUUAAUUUUUGGGUUUCUACUUUAUUUUUUAGUCUGUUAUAUACGGUUCAUCUUUAGUUUCUUCUGUAACUUGCUUGGAGCUUAGAAUACAUAGCCCAACUAGUCUCAUAUACAACUAAGACCAAUGAUUCAUGCUGAAUUCUGUAUAUAUAUAUAUAUAUGUGUGUGUGUGUGUGUGUGUGUGUUGGAUUGGAGAACCACUCGAGGAGGGAGGGAGGAAGCACGGAAGGUCACCAUGGACCUCGCCCAACUCCCACCCAUCUUCCUGCCUGCAGCUGUAGGCCAAAUAAAGGAUGUUGUUCUCGGUGGAGCUGCGCUUGAGGAUGAGCAGAGAGAGAAAUUUAAUCAAAUUAGAUAGCUUCACUCGUGUCUGCCACUGCUCAUUGUCAUGUUGACAGAGCGUUCACCCGAUGGCGGAAUACCAUGCCGCAGCGUGGGCAGUCGGCGGUUGUGCUAUAUACGUGAGUGACAAACCUGAAAACCAUGACUUCGAUCUGCUGAGGAAGCUUGUGUUUCCUGACGGAUCGAUCCUGCGAGCCAAACUGCCCGGGAGACAAACAGCACUACCGUUGUCGCGGAAAUUCCGUGCGAUGGAAGCUUCUAGAGCCUGCUGGUACUUCCUAGCCAGAAGCCCCAUGAGCUCGACGUCUAGCCCUACAACCACCACCCCACGCACAAGCAGGUGCUAUGCUCUUGCUCACGUCUAGCACCGUAUCCGGCGCGGUGGUGCUUCUUGAGGCGACCGGCGUGACGGCGGCGACCACAAGCUCUCUGCUGUGAGUAGACGUCAAUGAUGCCUACUUGCUUGGCUGCUACAGUGAUGCAUGCGCCGGUCAAGCAAGCAUACAUGCAUAUAUGUACAUGUUAGGAUAGUAGCAGAUGUGCCAUAUUUCCUCUGUAAGGAAAUGUAUUCCUGAGAUGAUUUUGUUAUGUUAUCUAAACCUGGGAGAUGUGUUAUGUGAUGUGAUAUGAUGGAUGAUUUGAA